Molecule: ribosomal RNA, 245 nt
Filed under: uncultured bacterium
Lineage: Bacteria
Description: partial 16S ribosomal RNA
Rfam family: Bacterial small subunit ribosomal RNA
Source: RNAcentral
UACAGAGGGUGCAAGCGUUGUUCGGAAUUAUUGGGCGUAAAGCGCGUGUAGGCGGCCGGCCAAGUCGGGUGUGAAAGCCCUCAGCUUAACUGAGGAAGUGCGCCCGAAACUAGCUAGCUUGAGUACCGGAGAGGAUGGUGGAAUUCCCGGUGUAGAGGUGAAAUUCGUAGAUAUCGGGAGGAACACCAGUGGCGAAGGCGACCAUCUGGACGGAUACUGACGCUGAGACGCGAAAGCGUGGGAAG